Molecule: ribosomal RNA, 460 nt
Filed under: uncultured bacterium
Lineage: Bacteria
Description: partial 16S ribosomal RNA
Rfam family: Bacterial small subunit ribosomal RNA
Source: RNAcentral
CCUCCUUUCUUCCUCAUUUAUUAAUAUUUUUCAAUUUUCUUAAGCCUGAACCAGCCAAGUCGCGUGAGGGAUGAAGGUUCUAUGGAUCGUAAACCUCUUUUAUAAGGGAAUAAAGUGUGGGACGUGUCCUAUCUUGUAUGUACCUUAUGAAUAAGGAUCGGCUAACUCCGUGCCAGCAGCCGCGGUAAUACGGAGGAUCCGAGCGUUAUCCGGAUUUAUUGGGUUUAAAGGGUGCGUAGGCGGCCUUUUAAGUCAGCGGUGAAAGUCUGUGGCUCAACCAUAGAAUUGACGUUGAACAUGGGGGGCUUGAGUAUGUUUGAGGCAGGCGGAAUGCGUGGUGUAGCGGUGAAAUGCUUAGAUAUCACGCAGAACCCCGAUUGCGAAGGCAGCCGGCCAAGCCAUGAAUGAAGCUGAUGCACGAAAGAGUGGGGAUCAAACAGGAUUAGAUAAAAUUGUAGUC